RNAcentral lists this transfer RNA (69 nucleotides) under Rattus norvegicus (Norway rat). It matches the Rfam family "tRNA". From Rfam's summary of the family: Transfer RNA (tRNA) molecules are approximately 80 nucleotides in length. Their secondary structure includes four short double-helical elements and three loops (D, anti-codon, and T loops). The record is from Rfam by way of RNAcentral. Lineage: Eukaryota; Metazoa; Chordata; Mammalia; Rodentia; Muridae.
GGAGAUUUAGCUCAGCGGUAGAGCACUUGCCUAGCAAGCGCAAGGCUCUGGGUUCGGUUCCCAGCUCCG